AGGGCAGCCAAGUCGUGAGGCGGAGCUAAUCCCUUUAAAAGCCAUUCUCAGUUCGGAUUGUAGGCUGAAACUCGCCUACAUGAAGCUGGAGUUACUAGUAAUCGCAGAUCAGAAUGCUGCGGUGAAUGCGUUCCCGGGUCUUGUACACACCGCCCGUCACACCACGGAAGUUGGGGGCGCCCGAAGCCACUUAGCUAACCCUUUUGGGAAGCGAGUGUCGAAGGUGAAAUCAAUAACUGGGGUGAAGUCGUAACAAGGUAAC
This 262-nucleotide ribosomal RNA is filed under the name uncultured bacterium. RNAcentral describes it as "partial 16S ribosomal RNA". It matches the Rfam family "Bacterial small subunit ribosomal RNA", at positions 1243 to 1500 of the family's 1533-position model. The record is from RNAcentral.